GGAGGAAAAGAAACCAACAGGGAUUGCCUUAGUAGCGGCGAGUGAAGCGGCAAAAGCUCAAAUUUGAAAUCUGGCACUUUCAGUGUCCGAGUUGUAAUUUGAAGAAGGUAUCUUUGGGUCUGGCUCUUGUCUAUGUUUCUUGGAACAGAACGUCACAGAGGGUGAGAAUCCCGUGCGAUGAGAUGACCCAGACCUAUGUAAAGUUCCUUCGAAGAGUCGAGUUGUUUGGGAAUGCAGCUCUAAGUGGGUGGUAAAUUCCAUCUAAAGCUAAAUAUUGGCGAGAGACCGAUAGCGAACAAGUACAGUGAUGGAAAGAUGAAAAGAACUUUGAAAAGAGAGUGAAAAAGUACGUGAAAUUGUUGAAAGGGAAGGGCUUGAGAUCAGACUUGGUAUUUUGUAUGUUACUCUUUCGGGGGUGGCCUCUACAGUUUACCGGGCCAGCAUCAGUUUGGGCGGUAGGAGAAUUGCAAAGAAAUGUGGCACUGCUUCGGUAGUGUGUUAUAGUCUUUGUCGAUACUGCCAGCCUAGACUGAGGACUGCGGCUUCGGCCUAGGAUGUUGGCAUAAUGAUCUUAAGUCGCCCGUCUU
Molecule: ribosomal RNA, 587 nt
Filed under: Lodderomyces metapsilosis
Lineage: Eukaryota; Fungi; Ascomycota; Pichiomycetes; Serinales; Debaryomycetaceae
Description: eukaryotic LSU rRNA
Rfam family: Eukaryotic large subunit ribosomal RNA
Source: RNAcentral